Perca fluviatilis (European perch) is the source of this 288-nucleotide long non-coding RNA. RefSeq lists it as uncharacterized. The record is from RefSeq and is a predicted model, not a curated record. The transcript is spliced from 3 exons. Lineage: Eukaryota; Metazoa; Chordata; Actinopteri; Perciformes; Percidae.
CUGGACCAAAAGCCAUUGAGGUGUAGGGUUGACUUGUUGGAUCACUCUGAAGAGCAGUGGGCAAAGAGAACUGUAACCUCUCGUCAAACAAAAACAAAAUACUUUGACCCUCCCAAGAACCUUCCAACUCCAAAGGCAGUAAAAUGGAAAAAGAUGAAAGCAACAAGACAGAAAUCCAAGAACACUGCCAAUAAGAAUACAAGUGACGAAGAGAAACACAAAGAUUUUCAAACAAAUAAAACUGCAAAGAGGGAAGAUGGAAGCAAACGCAGCAAGCUCAGUGGAAAG